GUUGUGAGGUUAAGCAAUAAGCAUUACACAGUGGAUGAUCGGCAGUCAGAGGCGAUGCUGAAGGACGUGCUAAUCUGCGAUAAGAGCGUCAGUAGGAGUGAUAUGAACCAUUCCCGCAGCGGCGAUUUCCAGCGAAUGAGAAACCCAGUGUGUUUUCUGACAUACACUAUCUCAUUAACUAGAUCCAUAAGUUAUUAACAGGGCAGACCAGAACUAGAACAUCUAAAUUACCCCGAGGAAGAAGAAAUCAAUAGAGAUUCCCCAGGCGGCGAGCAGACUGGGAACAAUAUUGAAGCCUGAAUCAGUAUGUGUAUUGAGUAGGAAAAUCCUGGAAGGCCCGCGCAUUACAGGAGUGACAGCCCGUACACAAAAUGCAUAUUGUGAGCCUCGAUGAGUAGAGACAGGACACAUGGUAUCAUAUCACAGAUAUGGGGACCACUUCCUCCCAAAACUAAAUGCUCCUGGCCAAUGAUAGUAGACCAGUACCCGUGAGAGCCGAAAAGACCUGUAGCGAGGGGUGAAAGAACCUGGGAAGAGCAAAGUAGCCGCAGUUAGGAGCACGCUUGAAGUAUGACUGCGUACCUUUGUAUAAUGGGUCAGCGGCUUAUAUUCUGGCAGGUUGUGAAAAGCCAGAUAGGGGAGCCAGAGAGAGCCAGCGAGUCUGCUGGGCGUUAAGUUGCAGGGAGUAUAGACUGAAACCCAGUGAUCUAAUAUGGGCAGGUUAAGAGGAUUUGAGUAGCACACUACUAACUGGGAGGAUGAACCAUUGCGAAAAAUUAGCGGAUGACUUGUGGCUGGGGUGAAAGGCCAAUCAAACCAGGAGAUAGCUGGUUCUCCCCAAGCUAUUUAGAGUGGCGCCUCGUAGAUUCAUCUCCGGGGAGUAGAGCACCAACCAGCAGGAGGUCAUCCCGACUUACCAACCUGAUGCAAACUGCAGAUACCGGAGAUAUCACGGGAGGACGCACAUGGGUGCUAACGUCCAUCGUGAAGAGGGGAAACAACCCAGAGCCGCCAGCUAAGGUCCCAAAGUCAUGGUUAAGUGGGAAACGAUGUGGGAGGAAUUAUUAUACGUAGGAUAAACGAAAGCGAAGCAGCCAUCAUUUAAAGAAAGCCCGUAAGCUCACUGGUCAGUCGGCCGCGGAAGAUGUAACGGGGCUAGAAACCAUUACACCGAAGCUGCGGCAACGACACUAUAAUAUGUGUUGUUGGGAGUAGGGGGCGUUCUAUGGCCUGUGAAGGUGUGUGCUGUGAGGGGCAUGCUGGAGGUAUCAAGAGUGCGAAUGCUGACGCUAAGUAACGAUAAAGCGGGUGAAAACCCGCUCGCGCCAGGCAAGGGUUCCUGUCCAGCGUUAAUCGGGGCGGAAGGUCGACCAGGCGAAGACCGAAGCGUAGUCGAUGGGAAACAGGUUAAUAUUUCUGCGCGGGUAUUUACACUGCGAGGGGAACGAGAGGCUAUGUUGGCCGGGCGACGAUUUGUCCCAGUUUAAGCGUACGGUUUCGGGCAGUCCGGAAAAUCAGGCUGAGGGCGUGAUGACUGAGGGCACUACGGUGCUGAAGCAACAAACAAAUGCCUGCUUCGGGAAAAGCCUGCACCCUCUAAGCAUCAGGUAACAUCAAAUCGUACCCCAAACCGACACAGGGUGGUCAGGUAGGGGAAUACCAAAGGCCUUGGGGAACUCGGGUGAAGGGAACUUCGGGCAAAAUGGUGCGCUGAAAACUUCCGGGAGGCACGCUGAUAUGUAGGUGGGGAGUCCCUCGCGGAUGGGCAGAAUCAGUCGAAGAUACCAAUGGCACGCAACUGUUUAUUAAAACACAGCGCACAAUACCCGCGAAAUUAGGACGUAUACGGUGUGACGCCUGCCGGUGCCGGAAGGGUUAAUUGAUGGGGUUAGCCGCAGAGGCGAAGCGCUCUUGAUCAGCCCAGUAAGCGGCGGCCAUGCAACUAUAACAGUCCCAGGUAAAAUUCCUUGUCGGGUAGUUCCGACCUGCACGAGAAUGGCAUCAAUGAUGGCGGGGCUGUCUCCACCCGAGACUCAAUUGAAAUUGAACUCGCUGUGAAGAGAUUACGGUGUACCCGCGGCGAGACGAAAUUACGUAGACCUUUACUAUAAGCUUGACGCACUGAACGGUAUUGAGCCUUGAGGUGUGUGGGAUGAUAGGUGGGAGGCUUUUGAAGUGUGGACGCCAGUCUGCAUGCGUCGACAACGAAAUACCACUUGUGUUGAUGUUCUAACGUUGACCCAUGUCCGGGUUGCGGACAGCAGUGUCACAGUGAGUGGAUUUGACACAGGGCCGGUCUCACUCCUAAAAGGAAGCGGAGGCACGAAGGUUGGCUAAUCGAGUCCGGACAUCAGGAGGUUAAUUUUGUGGCAUAAGCCAGCUUGACUGCAGAGAGCGUGACGGCGCGAGCAGGUGCAGCUCGAGAUAUAGCAUGGUAAUCCGGUGGUUCUGAAUGGAAGAGACCAUCGCUCAACGGAUAAAAGGUACUCCGGGAUAACAGGCUGAUACCGCCCAAAGAGUUCCUUAUCGAGCAGCGGUGUUUGGCACUAUCGAUAUCAGCUCUCAUCACAUCCACAGGGAACUGAAAUGGGUCCCAAGGGUAUGGCUAAUUCGCCAUUUAAAGUGGUACGCAGGCGCUGGAGUUUAGAACGUCGUGAACGAGUUCGGUCCCCUAUCUACCGUGGGCGCUGGAGAACUGGGGGGCUGCUCCUGGUACCGAGGGGCCGGAAUUAUGGACGCAUCACUGUAGUGUUCGGGUUGUCAUGCCAGCACCCGGUAGCUAAAUGCGGAAGAUAAGUGCUGAAAACAUCUAAGCGCGAAACUUUGAGAUGAGUUCUCCCUGACUCCUUGAGAGUCCUGAAGGAACGUUGAAGACGACGACGUUGAUAGGCCGGGUGUGUAAGCGCAGCGAUGCGUUGAGCUAACCGGUACUAAUGAACCGUGAGGCUUAACCUUACAACGCCGAAGCUGUU
Molecule: ribosomal RNA, 2972 nt
Filed under: Escherichia coli
Lineage: Bacteria; Pseudomonadati; Pseudomonadota; Gammaproteobacteria; Enterobacterales; Enterobacteriaceae
Description: 23S ribosomal RNA
Rfam family: Bacterial large subunit ribosomal RNA
Source: RNAcentral